GUUAUAUGGUCAAGCGAAUAAGCGCACACGGUGGAUGCCUUGGCGGUCAGAGGCGAUGAAGGACGUGGCAGCCUGCGAAAAGUGUCGGGGAGCUGGCAACAAGCUUUGAUCCGGCAAUGUCCGAAUGGGGAAACCCACUCCGCAAGGAGUAUUGCAUGGUGAAUACAUAGCCAUGCAAGGCGAACCCGGGGAACUGAAAUAUCUAAGUACCCGGAGGAAAAGAAAUCAACCGAGAUUCCCCCAGUAGCGACGAGCGAACGGGGAGCAGCCCAAAAGUUGUUCCGGUUCUAGCAAAACAGUCUGGAAAGACUGGCCAUAGAAGGUGACAGCCCUGUAUGCGAAAGGGCCGGAAUGAUGAAAAGUGAGUAGGGCGGGGCACGAGAAACCCUGUCUGAACAUGGGGGGACCAUCCUCCAAGGCUAAAUACUCCUGACCGACCGAUAGUGAACCAGUACCGUGAGGGAAAGGCGAAAAGAACCCCGGAGAGGGGAGUGAAAUAGACCCUGAAACCGUGUGCGUACAAGCAGUAGGAGCCCUUCGGGGUGACUGCGUACCUUUUGUAUAAUGGGUCAGCGACUUACUGUUCGUGGCGAGCUUAACCGUAUAGGGGAGGCGAAGGGAAACCGAGUCUGAUAAGGGCGCAUAGUCGCGGGCAGUAGACCCGAAACCGGGUGAUCUAGUCAUGCCCAGGGUGAAGGUACCGUAACAGGUACUGGAGGCCCGAACCCACUCCCGUUGCAAAGGUAGGGGAUGAGGUGUGAUUAGGAGUGAAAAGCUAAUCGAACCCGGAGAUAGCUGGUUCUCCUCGAAAGCUAUUUAGGUAGCGCCUCGCACGAAUCUUCCUGGGGGUAGAGCACUGUUAUGGCUAGGGGGUCAUUGCGACUUACCAAACCAUUGCAAACUCCGAAUACCAGGACAGAAUAUGCGGGAGACACACGGCGGGUGCUAACGUUCGUCGUGAAAAGGGAAACAACCCAGACCCACAGCUAAGGUCCCAAAUUCCAUGCUGAGUGGAAAACCAUGUGGAAAGGCACAGACAGCCAGGAGGUUGGCUUAGAAGCAGCCAUCCUUUAAAGAAAGCGUAAUAGCUCACUGGUCGAGUCGGUCUGCGGGGAAGAUUUAACGGGGCUAAGCAUGGAACCGAAGCUUGGGGUGCAUACUUUGUAUGCGCGGUAGAGGAGCGUUCCGUAAGCCGUUGAAGGUGGAUCGAGAGGUCUGCUGGAGGUAUCGGAAGUGCGAAUGCUGACAUGAGUAACGAUAAUGCGGGUGAAAAGCCCGCACGCCGAAAGCCCAAGGUUUCCUUGCGCAACGUUAAUCGACGCAGGGUGAGUCGGCCCCUAAGGCGAGGCAGAAAUGCGUAGUCGAUGGGAAGCUGGUUAAUAUUCCAGCACCUCGCACAAGUGCGAUGGAGGGACGGAGAAGGUUAGGUCUACCGGGCGUUGGUUGUCCCGGGGAAAGGCGGUAGGUUUGGGUCUUUGGCAAAUCCGGGACCCUUCAAGACCGAGCACCGAGACGAGCUCAUUAGAGCGAAGUGACUGAUACCACGCUUCCAGGAAAAGCUCCUAAGCUUCAGCUUGUGCAGACCGUACCGUAAACCGACACAGGUGGGUAGGAUGAGAAUUCUCAGGCGCUUGAGAGAACUCGGGUGAAGGAACUAGGCAAAAUGGUACCGUAACUUCGGGAGAAGGUACGCCCCCUUUGGUGGCCACAUGCGUGGCUGGGCUGAGGGGGGCCGCAGAUACCAGGCCGCUGCGACUGUUUAUCAAAAACACAGGACUCUGCAAACACGAAAGUGGACGUAUAGGGUCUGACGCCUGCCCGGUGCCGGAAGGUUAAUUGAUGGGGUCAGCCGCAAGGCGAAGCUCUUGAUCGAAGCCCCGGUAAACGGCGGCCGUAACUAUAACGGUCCUAAGGUAGCGAAAUUCCUUGUCGGGUAAGUUCCGACCUGCACGAAUGGCGUAACGAUGGCGGCACUGUCUCCACCCGAGACUCAGUGAAAUUGAAAUCGCUGUGAAGAUGCAGCGUUCCCGUGGCAAGACGGAAAGACCCCGUGAACCUUUACUAUAGCUUUACACUGAACGUUGAGUUCGUCUGUGUAGGAUAGGUGGGAGGCUGUGAAGUGCUGGCGCCAGCUGGCAUGGAGCCAUCCUUGAAAUACCACCCUGUCGUGCUUGACGUUCUAACCUAGGUCCGUGAUCCGGAUCGGGGACCGUGUAUGGUGGGUAGUUUGACUGGGGCGGUCUCCUCCCAAAGAGUAACGGAGGAGCUCGAAGGUACGCUCAGCGCGGUCGGACAUCGCGCACUGUGUGCAAAGGCAUAAGCGUGCUUGACUGCAAGAUCGACGGAUCAAGCAGGUACGAAAGUAGGACUUAGUGAUCCGGUGGUUCUGUAUGGAAGGGCCAUCGCUCAACGGAUAAAAGGUACUCCGGGGAUAACAGGCUGAUACCGCCCAAGAGUUCAUAUCGACGGCGGUGUUUGGCACCUCGAUGUCGGCUCAUCACAUCCUGGGGCUGUAGUCGGUCCCAAGGGUAUGGCUGUUCGCCAUUUAAAGUGGUACGCGAGCUGGGUUCAGAACGUCGUGAGACAGUUCGGUCCCUAUCUGCCAUGGGCGUUGGAGAUUUGAGAGGGGCUGCUCCUAGUACGAGAGGACCGGAGUGGACGAACCUCUGGUGUUCCGGUUGUCACGCCAGUGGCACUGCCGGGUAGCUACGUUCGGAAGCGAUAACCGCUGAAAGCAUCUAAGCGGGAAGCGCGCCUCAAGAUGAGAUCUCCCGGGGCACAAGCCCCCUGAAGGAACCAUCAAGACCAGGUGGUUGAUAGGCUGGGUGUGUAAGCGCUGCAAGGCGUUGAGCUAACCAGUACUAAUGAUCCGUGUGGCUUGACCAUAUAACCU
Molecule: ribosomal RNA, 2893 nt
Filed under: Luteimonas granuli
Lineage: Bacteria; Pseudomonadati; Pseudomonadota; Gammaproteobacteria; Lysobacterales; Lysobacteraceae
Description: Luteimonas sp. Gr-4 23S ribosomal RNA
Rfam family: Bacterial large subunit ribosomal RNA
Source: RNAcentral